GAUCCCUUUCGUGAAUAAAGGCGAGGCUCCCACAGCCAAGCAGCAAGCAAAUGCCUGCCUUCCCAUCUGCUCACAUGCUGUGCUGACUGCCAAGGGUGUUUACUUCCAGAAUAUCUGAAGAUGCUGUGAACAAACAGAAGGCAGUUUCGGAGGAACUGCUCGGAGCAUAGUACAUCACGUGGAAAAACAACCCAAACCCCGAGAAACGCAUCUGUGGGAGAACCCUGCUCUGUUCCCAGUGUCACUUCGCGCACACUUGGCAGCCAGGAUCCAUCCGAUUGUUGUGGUUCAUCCGAGGCUUCCUGUUCUCUCUGAGACGAUGCUGGUGUUUGUGAAAUCGCUCCUCUCCUUGGUCUGAGAAUAGAGUAAGGCCAGCACUCGACAGAGCCAUUUCCCUAACCCAAGAAGGAAGACUCAAUUCUGAGCCAAAGUUGGGAAUGAAGCCAGUGGACAUUCCAGCCGCUACAAGCACAGCAUCUUACAAAUCCUUGUGUUCUGUGUGCCUUGCGAAGGGAGCCGCUGACUUGACAGAGACCUAUAAUGCCUGUCGGCAGCAGCCAUAUCCUUCACUGUAACAGCACCGGUCAGAAUAAAUCUCAUCUCCAUUCGUAAGACAAUCUUCAACAGAAGAGAACUGCCUGCUUGAUUAGGACGAUCCAUCAGGCAUCUGGAACAGGAAAAUCCUUUUCUUUUGAGCUCCAGAACCUGGACAGUCAUAAUGAGUCUGAUUUAAUGAGCCCCUAUUCUACAAUAUUAAUUACAAGCCCAUUGAGGUAAACACACAGAAAACUAGAGCUAGUCACACUCUUUCCCCAAGACACAACAGCCCAGAAGUCACACACGGGGGUCUCUGGCUAGUGGGUGGAUUGGGUGCUCAUAGAAUAGGUCCUGCUUCUGCACCCCAAGGUUACCUCUUGGCACAAAGUGGGCCUGCUUCUGUGCUCUAAGUUUAGCUCUUAGACCAGCCCCCUUCACAUGUGUCUGACAGACCUUAUCUGUCCCAACUAGCUGCCACCCCAGGAAAGGAAGAACAAGGAACGAAGAAACCUCAGAUGAAGCAGAGAGGCAUAGCCCCACUCCUGCUUUGGGUCUCCCUUUAUGAAAUGGAGCAUCUUUGUAUAGCAUAUACACUAGGAAUCGUUGCCAGCCCAGCUUAGUGCUUCAUCACUAAGAGCUGUCUGGUGCCAGUGUUUAUUGAUUGUUUACCAUUUGCCAAAUGUCUUAGGGAUGUGAGUUCAUUUGAUUAUCCCAGAACACCUUCUACCAGGGGUGUGUACCCUGUGGUCUACAGAUCGCACGUGGUCCAGGAUAUACUUCAUAUUGCACCAUCAAGCAAAAGAAACAUAUGUAUGCUCCUGUAAUCCCCACCCUUCAAAUUGAACACCUUUGGAUUUAA
This is a long non-coding RNA of Mus musculus (house mouse), 1396 nucleotides long. RefSeq annotates it as predicted gene, 51825. The record is from RefSeq and is a predicted model, not a curated record. Lineage: Eukaryota; Metazoa; Chordata; Mammalia; Rodentia; Muridae. The transcript has 2 exons.